GUUUCCGUAGGUGAACCUGCGGAAGGAUCAUUAUCGAGUUUUGACUGGGUUGUAGCUGGCCUUCCGAGGCAUGUGCACGCCCUGCUCAUCCACUCUACACCUGUGCACUUACUGUGGGUUUCAGAUGNCNUUAGCGGGCCUUCGNGGGCUCGUGAAAGCGUCUGGGCCUGCGUUUAUUACAAACUCUUAUCAGUAUCAGAAUGUGUAUUGCGAUGUAACGCAUCUAUAUACAACUUUCAGCAACGGAUCUCUUGGCUCUCGCAUCGAUGAAGAACGCAGCGAAAUGCGAUAAGUAAUGUGAAUUGCAGAAUUCAGUGAAUCAUCGAAUCUUUGAACGCACCUUGCGCUCCUUGGUAUUCCGAGGAGCAUGCCUGUUUGAGUGUCAUGAAAUCUUCAACCNAUAAACCUUUGCGGGUUUAUNAGGCUUGGACUUGGAGGCUUGUCGGCYCAGCUGGUGUCGGCUCCUCUCAAAUGCAUUAGCUUGAUUCCUUGCGGAUCGGCUCUCGGUGUGAUAAUUGUCUACGCCGCGACCGUGAAGCGUUUGGCGAGCUUCUAACCGUCUCGCAUGAGACAAUUCAUUGACCUCUGACCUCAAAUCAGGUAGGACUACCCGCUGAACUUAAGCAUAUCAAUAAGCGGAGGAAAAGAAACUAACAAGGAUUCCCCUAGUAACUGCGAGUGAAGCGGGAAAAGCUCAAAUUUAAAAUCUGGCGGUCUUUGGCCGUCCGAGUUGUAGUCUGGAGAAGUGCU
RNAcentral lists this ribosomal RNA (750 nucleotides) under Dichomitus squalens. RNAcentral describes it as "eukaryotic LSU rRNA". The stretch from base 232 to 385 matches the Rfam family "5.8S ribosomal RNA". The record is from RNAcentral. Lineage: Eukaryota; Fungi; Basidiomycota; Agaricomycetes; Polyporales; Polyporaceae.